AAGAGCUUUUACUGAUUCUGCUUCAACACACACCAUGAUCUCUACAUCACUACUGCUGCUGCUGCUGGCAGCCGUACACUGUGGUCUCUGUGUUGAGCUGAUCCAGACCAGAUCCACAGUAAUAACCCCUGGUCAGUCACUGACUCUGAGCUGUAAAGUGUCUGGAUAUUCAGUAACAAGUACCUACUGUACACACUGGAUACGACAACCUGCAGGAAAAACUCUGGAGUGGAUCGGACGCAUAUGUUAUGAUGGGAGCACUGCCUACAGUGAGAAACUGAAAAGCAGCUUUCAGGUUACCAGAGACACGUCCAGCAACACAGUCACAUUAACAGGACAGAACAUGCAGACUGAAGACACAGCUGUGUAUUACUGCGCUCGUGACACACAGUGAUACACAUCAACAACAUCCCUGUACAAAAACAUCCUGUACAGAAAACUGUUCAUAAGCAAAAUCAGAAAUACAACAUUUUAUCAGUUUG
This is a non-coding RNA of Silurus meridionalis, 482 nucleotides long. The record is from the annotation of a RefSeq genome assembly. NCBI's taxonomy places the organism in Eukaryota, Metazoa, Chordata, Actinopteri, Siluriformes, Siluridae.